Molecule: ribosomal RNA, 524 nt
Filed under: uncultured bacterium
Lineage: Bacteria
Description: partial 16S ribosomal RNA
Rfam family: Bacterial small subunit ribosomal RNA
Source: RNAcentral
GAUGAACGCUGGCGGCGUGCCUAAUACAUGCAAGUCGAACGCUUCUUUUUCCACCGGAGCUUGCUCCACCGGAAAAAGAGGAGUGGCGAACGGGUGAGUAACACGUGGGUAACCUGCCCAUCAGAAGGGGAUAACACUUGGAAACAGGUGCUAAUACCGUAUAACAAUCGAAACCGCAUGGUUCUGAUUUGAAAGGCGCUGUCGGGUGUCGCUGAUGGAUGGACCCGCGGUGCAUUAGCUAGUUGGUGAGGUAACGGCUCACCAAGGCCACGAUGCAUAGCCGACCUGAGAGGGUGAUCGGCCACAUUGGGACUGAGACACGGCCCAAACUCCUACGGGAGGCAGCAGUAGGGAAUCUUCGGCAAUGGACGAAAGUCUGACCGAGCAACGCCGCGUGAGUGAAGAAGGUUUUCGGAUCGUAAAACUCUGUUGUUAGAGAAGAACAAGGAUGAGAGUAACUGCUCGUCCCUUGACGGUAUCUAACCAGAAAGCCAUGGCUAACUACGUGCCAGCAGCCGCCGUAA